CCUGGCUGGUACCACCUCCUUCCGUGCGACAAGCCCAGCCAUCCCAAAGGCGUGCAGAGGCGUGGGGUUGCUCUCUGCUGCUUUCUCCACCUGCCUCCACCAAAUGCAGUGACUUUUGAACCCCACCUUGCCAUGGGGGUGAUGUUUGCCCUGUGUUGCUAACAGGUUUUCCGUUUCUGGGGUCUCCACCACACCAGGGGUGAGGUACCCAUGCAGAGAUCUUCUCUGGGCCCUGGCCCUCUGCUUUCCUAGCAGUCCUAAAGCAGCUCCCAUGGAAAGGCCGUGUCUAGUGCAUGUUUCGAUUAUGAGAGGCAUAACAUGGCUAGUCAGCCCAGCCUUGCCUGGUGGGUUCAUGUUAGAGGCCCUGCUUCAGCUGGUCAGCCUGCUCAGUCCCUUGUCCGUUCCCCUGUGGGUCAAGAGAGCAGCACCCACGGGAACUGUUAUAAUUUAUUUUCUCCUCUCUUGACAAUGUUUGCUGCCUUUACUCCAUGCCAUUUCUCAUUAAAAGGCGCAAAACCAAGUUUGAAAUUCAGACUAUGGAGCUUAACUGCCCUGAGGCUAUAAAAAUAUAUUCCUUAUAAAGAUCUUGUGCAUGUUACUGACAAGUACAGUAGUCCUGAGGGGAUGCUGCUCACAGACAGGAAAAUCUAAUACCGAGAAGCGCUUUUCAUUUUGCACAACAAAAAAACAUGCAGCAAAUUUUUUUGCCAGGGCGAGCUAUUCAGAUGGAGCAGGGAUGGGGCUGGACAAGUCGCAUGACUCAAAGAUGUGGGUUUAGAUCCAAGUUCAGCAGUCCUCAGAUCUUGCAAGUUCUGCUGAAGAUUUGACUCCAGUUCACAAGGGCUAGUGGCGACUGUCAUACCCUUAGUUAACGGAGUCAAAAAGGCUUUCAGCUCAGGUUGUCAGAUGUGCUGCUGUCUCAGGAAGGCAGCAUGGGAUCAGAAGCUGAGUUUGGGCUCAGAACAGCCCUGCCAACAGCUCCGUGGAGGUGCGAGCAGGACAAUGCCUCCCUGUCUGGAGGCAACGUGGGCCAGUCUGGUGUGGAGGAGAAGAGGCAUACUGGUUCUCUCCCUGCUUGCCACAGAGCAGAGUGCUGGCAGUCCUGCUGGCGGGGGACCUUCUCCCAAAGUGCCUGGGACAGAGUCUGCCCUAUCCUCAUGGAAAGCCCUGUUGCUUGUGGGGUGAGAUAGGGUUUUUCUCAUAUGCCCCAGGCAUGACAACACUUGCGUUAUUUGAUGUGACAGCAGAUGAGCUGAUGUGACAGUCAGGUUUUUGCUCCGUGGGGUCACAACUGAGUGGUGUUUCAUGCCUAUCUGAUCCUAUCUUCCUGAUCCUGAUCAGCAGGAGGGAAGAGAUGGCACAGAUGUCCCUGCACAGAUGUGCUGGGCUACAGAGAACCUCCUGCUUCUGAAGGUGACUUGGCAGCUUCUAUUCCGGGUAUCAAGGUGUUUGCUGUAGCAGAGCUGCCCUGCUAUUCCUUUUAGUGUCCCCUAUUUUCAGAGCCCCAAGUCUCAUUCCUGGGAUGAAGUGAUAGACAGGUAAACCUUGGUGUGAUGCUUAUUUCCAGGAGAUCAUCCCUGACUGCUGCUUGUAGAGCGGUCAGUGGAUGGAGGCAUUGUGGUAGGGCUGUGAACAAAGAUGCAGGUGGGUUCCUGGGAACGGAAGCUGGGAAGGGGCCAGUACACAGUCCUCUCAGAGAGCAUCGGCAGUGGUCCUAUGUUGAGGUCCUGUUGAAAUCGGAAGGAGGGCGGUGUGGGGCUGACAUGUGCAUUGGUUUUGUUCCUCUAAACACUUAAUCCUGGCACUAUACAGAAAUUGGUAGGAGCUCAGCCUGGAUAGUGCUGAGCCCAGUGCUGCACUGCAUCCUCGAUCUGUGGCAUAGUCAUGAGGGAGUUACUGGCAUUUGGCAGGGGGCAGAUAUCGUGCUGAGUCCUCAAAAGCUUUGGCAGUCUUCUAGGGUCUUCCUGUGUCUGGAGAGGGUUGAAAAAGAGGGAGAUGCACCAGCCCACAAGUAGCCAUGGACAAAUACUCCUUUCCCUCAGCCAAGGCCUGUGGUGAGGACAUGGGGAUAGGAAUGCUUCAAACCCAGAUGCCCAGCACCUUUCCUGAGUGAGGGGCUCACUCAGUGUGCCUCGUUGGUUGGUCCUGGCAAUGUACUCCCAGAUGGACACUCACUGUGGCAGCCAUGGCCUCUGCUGCAGGUCCCUCAACUGCACUGUUCCCGAAAUGUGAUGGGCCAUCAUCACCUAGAGACAUCCACUUGCUCCCCAGAUUUGUACAACAGGAGGGAAUAACCUGCUGGUUGGCCUUGGCUGCAUAGUGAGAAUGGAGUUUGCUUGGCCUCCCCCUGCCUCCCAUUUGCUCUGGAGAGAUCUUUUCCCCUGGGAAAUUAUUGGCACAAGCAAGAGGCUUUGCCUGUGCUGCUCUUGCUGGAGGGAACUUUGCUGCAUGUCCCUGGGGUUGCAGAGACCCCUGUCCUUACUGCAGGCUGGGGCUGGGCUGCUGAGCACACCGUCACUAUGGCUGAAGGAGGGAGGAUGGGGGGUCCAGCUGAAGUUGGUGCUUCAUGUCUGGGGUAAGAUUUGCGAGGAAAUUUUGUCCUAUCUGGGACAAGGAAAACGUCUGCCGCGUCAAUAAAGCUCUUGCUGCACAGAGCAACCAUUUCACACAAGCUCUCAUGGAUAAGUGUGUGUUGCAUAGUUGUGAAAAGUUCCCUUUCUCUGUCCAAGAUGUGUACAGGUGCAUAUGGACUGUGUGCUUCAGCCAUUCAUUACGUAUGUGCCUCACCCUAGGACUACAUAGGUGCAUAGGAGAACAUAGAUGCCCAUGCAGCAUAUUUGAGUUGGGAGACAGACUGGGCUCUGUUUGCUGUUAAUCUUUCCAGAAGGUAGAAUUGCUUGUCCUGAGUGUUGUGAACCGCAGGACGUACAAUGUGUCCCUGCUUCUCUCUCCUACAGUGUAAUUACAGCCAAAUUCCACCACCGUUCCAAUCACGGUGUCAGAAGAGAAGUGUUUUUACAGUCAGCUCAGGCAAAUGAGUGUUUUAUCUCUCAGCUUCUUAUCAGCAGGGUCUGUAAUUCACCUGGAACAUAUUCCUGUGUGCUGAUUCACUGCCAGUGACGGGAACACAUUUGUGUCUCCUUGUCGGGCUGCUGUUUGUAAGAGCUGGGAUGAGGGGCAGCAGCAGCAGAAGAGAUGGUGGCUAGAUAAAUUAAUCUACAUAGCUGGCCGGAGGGCUGAGUGGGUUGACAAGCAGAGGGAGAGAUAGAUGGGAAGGUUGAAAGCUUGACUGGAUGAGAGGCAAAAUGAUGUAAUUAUUUGCUGAGUGGCUAGAUAGGUGCAAAUGGACAUAAGCAAGAACUAGGUUAAGCAGCUGGUAAAAAUGGAAGGAUUGUGGCUCACAUACACCUGGCUGCUAAAAUGAUUUGUAAUUCAAGAGGAAACAUGAACUGCAAAACACUGGGCCCAGAGUGGGAGGUGCUCCAUGGCUUUCGGACACCAAGAUCACUCAACAUCUUGCUGGAUCUCCCCGUUGGAUCUCACCAAGGCUGUGGUGAGAGCAGGGAAGCUGAUGGCCCUGCUAGGCACAUCUGCAGCACGAGAGGACAAAUGGGGGUUGUGGGAGAGCCAUGCUAUGCAUGCAUCCCCUGCAAGCCUGGCAUGAUGGAGCCUGGCUAUGGUGGGAUCCCGCAGGUCCUGCAAACCUCAGGCACAACUCUGGAGGCACUGACAUCCUGCGUGGUUCCUCCUGCUCCUCUCGUGAGCAGAGCUGUGUGGGCAAGAUGAGCCUCCAAGCUGACUGGGAGGACGAUGCUCAUUUUUCUCUCCCCUUGCUGCCGACCUGCUGCUAGCCAGUCUCCUCGCAUCACCCUUGUGUCAUCCUUCUUCCCUGUUAAACUUUGGGAAAGGGACUUUGUCUUGCUGGGCACUCCCAGGAGAGUGGGCUGUAUUUUCAGUAGCUGUGAUUGCUGGGCAUAAUGAAGUGCAAGACAAGUGAGAGCAAUUUCUCCUUUCUUAAUUAGUUCCCCAGGCUCUGUGCACUCGAUGAUGCAGCUCAGCUUAUCAGCAUGAUGAGCCCUGUGCUGGAUUCAGAGAUCUGGGGCUCUGAUCCCACAUAGGGAGGCAGGCCACAGGAGAAGGAGACAGGGAGGGAAUGUGAGCAGUGUGCUGGCUUUGAGAAGGCCUGGGGGAAGUCUCACUCACAACCGUGGAUGAGAGGCCAGGGGAGCCACUCACUCUCAGGGGAUCUGCCAGGCAGAGGGUGUUUCUAGCCCUAAGCUCCAGAGACCCUGGGUGGUCAGACAGUGGGCCCUGCUCUUCUGCAGACUGCAUUACACCAGCUCCUGCAGGUCCCAUCACUGGGGCUGACCUUGAGCUUUUCUCUUAGCCUUUGACCUGAGUGUGAACAUUUCCUCUGUUGGAGUAGAAGAUUUGCUGCCAAUCAAUUCUUAUGACUAGAAUCCUGCCUGGUAAAAGACAUGCACUCCUCGGCUCUGGUCUGAGUGUGUCCAGUGUGUUCCAACUAGUCCAUUUCUAGAUGGGUCUGAGACCCCAGGCUGGAAAUGGGGCUUCUCUGCCUAGCAUAAUGAGGUGAUAUUCAGCAAGGCUGAAAUGCCAAAGGCUUGCCUUUUCCCAGCCUACCAAGCAAGCUGGUUGAUGAAGGCUCUCACCUCACUAGCAGUACUCACUCAGCAAUGAUCCUCCAUUUCUAGCUACCGUCUGUGGCACAGUCAUUUUAACAGAGUUUUGACCCACUUAGUGUGCAUUAUUCUGAUUGUAUAUUGUUCUGGUGUGUUAAUCAAGCAUUCAGGGAUGGUCUGGUAGACAGUGCCAAUCAAGUGAUGUUAUAGAAAAUAGCUCUCAUCAAAGUCACUUGAUAUUUUUCAAUGCAACUGGAUAUUUGAUGCAAGAAGACAUCUGUAAAAGCUCUGUCCUGCCAUCAUGUGACAUAUUAAUUAAUGAACUCUACUUCAGCUUUCCCAUUAUUUUCCUGAGGUGACUUCAAAUUGACAGCUGUAUAGUUACCUGUGUUGUCCUGUUUCCUUUUGCGAAUCUCUAUGCCAGUCUUUAGAGCUUCCCAAGAACUUGAGGGGUUACUGAAAGCCAGUAUUAGCUGGCCUGGGAGUGCCUUGGUAACUUUGAUGCAAGAUUUCUGGGUCUGCUGAUUUAAAUCUGUCUGUUUCUGGGGUUUCUAUUUAUUGCCAUCUUUCAUUACUGCUGGAGAGUAUUUCAGUACACUGGGAUAUGAACACAGUACUUGCAGUUGCCAAGAGGGAACAGAAGUAUUCAUUAACUCUUCUGUCCUGUCUACACUUGCAUUGCAGCUCCCUGAGGUACUUCUGCUGGUUAUAGAAAUCUCCUUCCUUCCCUUACCAGUAAUUUUCUGUGCUUCCUAGCGUCUAGCUUGUAAGUUAUAUUCAUUGCCUUUACUUUUUCCUUUUGUUAUUUAUUAUAUAUUGGUUGGGAAGAGGUUCUUUCUUAACUGCUUUCAUUUUUGCUCCUAUGCAUGACUUGUUUUUAUAUCUCUAACUACAUUUAACUUUUUUCCUGCUGGAUUGUAAAAAAAAUAUCCUCAGCUCACGGGUCCAUCAGCCAGCACAAUUGCCAGAUAUUCUACGACUCUUGAUCUGUCAAGCUGAAGUGCGAUAUAUAGUUUUCUCAUGGUGCAUCCAGUGCUUCAAGUUAGGAAACUGUCUUUACUGGCUCUUAGAAAAUUCAGGGACGUUUGACUGCUGGCAGGAAGAGCACGUUAGUGUCACCUCUCCGGGUAGAAAUUUCCUGUGAUGCAGCAGCUGUUUUGUGUGUUGGCAAGAUGGGGAGAUUUCUAGUUGCAUUUAUUAAAAACUACUCAAGACUCUUCUGUUCACUCUGCUUUGAGUUAAUCUGAGGAAAAGACAUCUCAGAAGACAUGCUUCUGCCAGCAAAGUCCCUCCCAUGCAAGUGGAGAUGAGAUGCUGGAGAGCUGCAACAUCACCCCUGUUUUCUCCUGGGAUAAGUGAUAGCCCUGAGAGCUGCUCCUGGGUGUUUUUAGCGUUCAUUGUCCCUGGGACUGGGUGAGGACCAGAUGCUGAGCAGUCUCUUUCCAGUCUUGCUUGCAGAAGCCCUCCCUGCAUGUUGAUUUGCUUGUUCCCAAGCUGGCACACCAGCACCGGGUGUCCACCCAUGUCCUCAUCCUAGAUUCCUACGAGGCUCUCAGCAAGCACCAGCUGCCAGGUCCUGGGUGCAUUAAUGGGCUGUGGUUGCCCUGGCCAGCCUCACCUAGGCCUCCUACAGGCCCAGUGCUCAGGUUCUCCAUUUAAGGUCAGCCUGGGCCCUCAAACCUGGAUACCCUUCUGCAGUUUGCAGAAAGGUCAAAGCACUGACAGGCAAUGAUGAGCUGCAGGAGAUGCAGUGGGAGAGUCUUCAGCCCGGUCUGCUCUGAGGGCAGGGGUUUGUGCUUAUGUAUUCCUGUGCUGCAUAUUCUCCUCAGAUUCUGCUGCUCUAAUCUAUGAGGUCUCUCCAUCAUUGUCAAGUGUCUUCCAUUUCUGGUUUUUGGACAAGAGCAAUUGAUGAGAAAAUGUGGCUUAAGCACAGGAUGAAGUAAUUUUAUUAAAGAAGAAUACUCCCUAAUGGAAAGUAUUUCACGUGUAUCAAAGCUCUUGGCGUAAAUUGAUUAUAAUGCAUCAGUCUGUCAGAUGGCACUAAACAAUUCGCAUUUAAAUGUCCCUUGAAACAUGCACCUUCCUCUGGGAGGGUCUGAUCCAGAAUCCAGCACAGCAAAAUGGAAACUAUGUCAUGGACUUCACCUGGAUCCUUUUAUUGAUGCAGUAGCACAAGCUGAUCUGAACUUUCAGGUAGCCGCAGUCCCGAAAAAAUGGAUAUCAGGGUUGUAGGGCUGAGAAAGCUGUUUGGACUCAGCCUUGCAGGGAUAGUUGUGACUGCAGGCCCCAGGAUGAGCCCUGAGCUUAACCAUUGCCGAUUUCCCAAGAAGUGGCACAUCCCACAUUAAGCUGUGGCUACCGUGGGGAAGAAGAGUGUGUGUGGGUUGAUGACGUUCACCCUUUGAGGCUCUUGGCUCCUUCUGCGCAGAAUCCCAGGCAGUGGCAGAAGAAAUGGGAAAGAUGAGACCCAGCCCUCACAAGAUUGUCUUGAUGUUACUGGAGACAAAGUUAAAACCAGUGACUGAAGAUUUCAGUGAGCUGCAGAGCAGGGCACCAAGCAGGUUGUCCUGCAGGCAAGGAACUGGGAAGCAGGUGUUGUAGUGCACUGGCAAUGCAGGAGCCAUGGCAGGGGUGCUGACCAUGGGGAGGGAGAGAGGAGGCUGGGCUGAGCAAGGUGCAUCAGGGACAAAGAUUUGCGACUCCAGCUCUGGCAGGAGUCUGCAGUUCUCUCCCCUGCAGCUGGCUGCCCUGGGAGCCGUGAAUCCUCAUGUUGGUCUCUCAGCCUCCUAAUCUCUCAGUGCCAGGACUUGGCUUGCUCCAAUGCCUUUGGACUGGCUCAGGGAGCUGCUGGCUGCAGUUCUUCUGGCAGUAACGUCAUGCCACAGUCACCCAUGUGUGCUUAUGGGCCUCCUGGGAGAUAGGAAAAGGAACAUGUAAGGAGGGAUGCCAGGACCCUGGGAUGCCAAUGGGCCAGGGGCAUUUAUCUGCAAACACUGAUGCAGGGAGCCUUCCCUUUUCCCAUGUGCCUGGUGCUGCCCCAGUCUGGUUUAUAAAACAGAAUAAUUGCAGUUGUGAAGUGCCUCCCUUUGUAACAGUGGCAAGGUCCAAUGACAAGAAGCAGAGUCCUAUCCUCCCCAUUGGUGUGUGGCAGGGCCAGCUCCCCAGCAGCAGAGCAAGGGUCCUGGCUGUUGCCUCCAGGUGCAAGCAGCCCCUAGGCACUGCACCCAGCAGAUCUCCCACUCCAGACCCCUCUCUGGAGGAGGCCAGCCCCUGGAAAGUGGGGUUCUCCCCCUCUCUGGAGGCCUGGAUAGCAGGCGUGGGAAUUGGGGAGAGGACAAACUGGUCCUCAAAUAGGCUGGGAGGUGGGAGUCAGUUUGCAAGUAACGUAAAAUCAGCUCUGCCAGAGCAUGGUUUCCUGCUAAACCUAGGCAGUUCCUCGAUGUGCUUGGCUGCACAGUUGUUACAGACAUUUAAUGAACAGUGAUUCUUCCAGAGCCUUUCGCUUCUUUUUUGACUUGAAGAAUUUUCCUCUGCUGAGGAGAAUAUUAGCUCUUUUCCACUGUUCUCUAGCCUUUAAUGCCUGUCUUGUGCUAUGCCACAGACGCCUCAGAGACUGCUGCUAUCUCAGUGCGCCCAUGGGGCAGUAAUUCCUGCUUUGCAGCCACUGCAGCCCCUCUGUCCAUCCAUCCAAGAGGGAAGCUGGUAGCAGACUCUCUUGAGUGGAUUUUUGCAUCUGUUCACAGGUCCCCUCUAAGCCUGGUGUUGUGUUCCUUCGCCUUGGUUCAUGACUUGGUGAUCUGGGAACAGUCUAUUUCCACUGACCCUUUCUGUCUACGUGGGAAGAAAAGAUAUGACUUUAACACAGGACUGCAUGGCAGUCAUGUGAGCCCUGAAGCUAAACUCAACUCAUCCACUGAGUAUAGUUUUGUAAAGAAAUUGCAUGUCUAUCCAGAGAUGUCUCAAACAGAAUGACAACCUGGUAACCUCCCAGCAGAACUUCUUUUCCCAUUGACUGAUGCCUUAUUCAUCCAACUGCAGUUACUGCCCUCUGAAAGUUGAAUGACCUCGGUCAGCAGGGAGGGAUGGACUUGGUGUAAGAGCAGAUGGAGCCACUUAUUUCUGCCUGGAUUGGUACUCACUACUCUGAAGGCAUCUGGAAGUGUAGUGACUCCUGUUCUAAAGCAUAGAUUGGAGUAUAUUAAUGCCAGUUUAUGCUGCAGGCUGCCUAAUCAUGACCUUUGUGUAGCCGGUAUAUUGGGAGGAUGAAGAAGCAAGUAUGGGAGAUGGAGCCCCCAUGAACGCAUCCCAGCCCCUGCAGAAGACAUGCUCCAUGCUCAGUGGAGAUGUUUGCCUGCUCGUGUGUCUCUUGACCCCAGCUGAAUUUGCUCAGAUUUGCAUCUCCUUCUUUACUGUGACACUUUUGCAUUUAUUAAGAGUGCUACCAGAUCCCUGCACAAGGACUUGCCACCCAGCUAAAUAAUGGUUCAUGUCUAUGCCAAUAUGCUUGAAUUAGUACUGGUCUUUGUCUGAUGUUAGGAGAGAGAGAGGUAUAAUUAAGGUAAUUAUGAGCAAUUCAGUACCAGGCAGGGAGAGCAAACUGUCUUUCAUAUAAGAGAAAAAUACAAUGUGUUAGUCUGCUCAAACCAUCACAAUGCAGAGCAAAAGUGGAGAUUUCCUGCCAGCCCGCUGUGGCCCAGAGGGCAACCAAUUCCCAGGAAGAAACCCCUGGAGACAGUGCUGUGCUGAUUGUGUCCCCAGGACAACUAAAACUUGUUCCUCUGCCUUUGAUGUGGGUGCUUUUCUGGGUACGUCCAGCCAGGGCCAAGCCCAGGGCCAGGGCCAUCUGAGAUCUCACCAUCUCACCACCUCCAGGCACAGGAGCUCCUGCUGGUAGAGCAGGUUGCCUUGGGCAGGAGCUGGGCUUGCUGUACCCUGCUUGUUCCCAACUCACUACGUGGAUGCUGAGGCUUUGGCUACAUGUCUCCCCUGCUCUUCCAUCCUGCCUGCCUUCACUGGGGCCUGGUCAGUUGGGGUGUCUGUGCCCACUGCUGUGCCCUCCCUUGUGUGGUGGGCACCGGGUUCAAGGCCCUUCUCCAAACUCCUGGUGCACCAUGUGCUGAUCUGUUAUAGCCAGAGGGAGGCCAUGAGCAUGAAUGCCUGAGCAUGUUCACUAGUGCACGACUUCUGCACCUGGCCUGGGGCAAGCGGGAGAGAGCUCCUUUCACUCCCCUCGCAGAGCAGGGCGACUCCUGGCUCUGCCACUGCUCAUUGCUGAAGCUGGGCAUGAAACAGGUGCUGUGCUCAUCUGUCUGUGUUCAUCUGUCUCACCAAAUGUCUAGGCAUUACUGUAGUACAUGCUAUUGGAUGGAGAUGAAUUUGUUCUGUCCAGCAGCAUAGAUUCAGGUGACAAAGAAGCCCAAGAAAAUUGUUCACUCUCUCUGCAGGUCAGGCAGAAAUUAGGUUUAUCAAGUUAUUUACAGUUUUAAGACAUCUGUAAAAAUUUGACAAAUGCAAUCUCUUUCCUAGCUCUUAUAGCUGCUACUGCUGCCUUCCAGGAAGCUGCAUGCCUCGGAGCCUGUCAGGAGCCCAUGGAAUAUCCUGCCCCAGAUAAUAACUGUGCCAGACACGGCCAGGGACCUUUUCUGCAGCAUCACACUGCCACUGAGGAGGGCACCCACCCAAAGAGAAAGCUGUAUAGAUGUAGAAAACAGCUUCUGAAGACAGAGGAGAGACAGGGCCUUCAGCUGAGGAGCCCAGUCCUCUUUACUGAAGAGCAUCUCCUCAGGACCUGAAAUUAAGCUGAUAGAACCACAGUUCCUUUCAUCCCUUCCUUGAAGGUCAGUGCAACACUUCUUUCUCCCAUUUCUCUGAAUAUCCUCAGGAGGAAUUACAGUAAGUCAAGCUGCUUGGAAAACAUUUCCCUUUUCAAGGUUUUUCCCAAGGUGUUCUUCCUUCUUUCAGCAUGGCUUUUCAUCUUAUAUCCACUGCUGCUAACAGGAUACAUCAGCCAAUAACAGUUGACAGUUCUACGAAACACAGAAAAUGAGGAAGACGUUAUUUCUGUCUCCUCAAAGUCAUGAUCAUCUUGCAGGGAGCUUUCCCUCCGUAAUAAGAAAUAACCUACUAUUUCCUUUGCCUUUUGGCUAUUUCAGCAUUGGCUUCUUCAGAUCGUGGUCACACUCCAUCCCAUACAUCCUGAUAGUUCAACCAUGUAGAUGUCAGCUCCUACUUUGGCUGUCUU
Non-coding RNA from Struthio camelus australis, 10881 nucleotides. Lineage: Eukaryota; Metazoa; Chordata; Aves; Struthioniformes; Struthionidae. The record is from RefSeq and is a predicted model, not a curated record.